UGGGGAAUAUUGGACAAUGGGCGCAAGCCUGAUCCAGCAAUGCCGCGUGUGUGAAGAAGGCCUUCGGGUUGUAAAGCACUUUUAUCAGGAGCGAAACGCUGUCGGCUAAUACCCGGCGGAACUGACGGUACCUGAGGAAUAAGCACCGGCUAACUUCGUGCCAGCAGCCGCGGUAAUACGAAGGGUGCAAGCGUUAAUCGGAAUUACUGGGCGUAAAGCGUGCGUAGGCGGUUUCUUAAGUCUGCUGUGAAAUCCCCGGGCUCAACCUGGGAAUGGCAGUGGAUACUGGGAGGCUAGAGUGUGUCAGAGGGUGGUGGAAUUCCCGGUGUAGCGGUGAAAUGCGUAGAGAUCGGGAGGAACAUCAGUGGCGAAGGCGGCCACCUGGGACAACACUGACGCUGAGGCACGAAAGCGUGGGGAGCAAACAGGAUUAGAUACCCUGGUAGUCCACGCCCUAAAAGCGAUGCGAACUGGAUGUUGGUCUCAAACUCGGAGAUCAGUGUCGAAGCUAACGCGUUAAGUUUCGCCGCCUGGGGAGUACGGUCGCAAGACUGGAAACUC
Molecule: ribosomal RNA, 561 nt
Filed under: uncultured bacterium
Lineage: Bacteria
Description: partial 16S ribosomal RNA
Rfam family: Bacterial small subunit ribosomal RNA
Source: RNAcentral